RNAcentral lists this ribosomal RNA (736 nucleotides) under Galdieria sulphuraria. Lineage: Eukaryota; Rhodophyta; Bangiophyceae; Galdieriales; Galdieriaceae. The record is from RNAcentral.
UCAAUCUUUUGUCCGUUUAAUCGUCUUGCAAUAUCUAUCUUCAAAGGCUAAAGAUGAUAACGAAAAAUGUUCUUCUAAAACAAUGGGUUCACCUUUGUUAGUAGAAAUAAUAAAUUUUCAUCUUAUGGAAUCACACCAAUUAAUGGAAUUGCCAGUAAUUUAAUUACAUCUUGUAAUAAUAUCAUUUCAUUUUGCCUAAUCAUUUUAUAACGAAUACGAUUAAUAAUUAAACUAAUAUUAUUAAAUAUUAUGAGAUUCAAGUAAUCCAAUGACUCUAUCAUCGUCUAUGAAUGAGGUGAUUUCAGGUGUAGUAAGAACCAAAACUUCUUGAGCUAAACUAAUAGCACGAUAAAAGCCUUUUUCUAUUCCAGCUGAAGAAUCUAUUAAUAUAUAAUCUGCUUGCUGAUCAAGAAGACUAAUAAGAAAACGCAUAUUGUCUCCAGUGAUAUCAUUUUUAGUAUGAUUUUAUGAGGUAGAUAAUAAACUUAAUCUAUUAUAAUGUUUAUCUUUAGUUAAAGCUUGCUCUAAACUGCAUUUUCCUGAAAAUACUUCUAAAGCUGUAUAAAUAACUCUAUUUUCUAAUCCUAAUAAUAAAUCUCAAUUUCGUAGAGCUAUAUCAGCGUCAAUUAAAAUAGUCUCAUAACCUAAUUUGGCAAGGCACAUUCCUCAAUUAGCAGUGGUUGUUAUUUUUCCCACUCUAUCUUUUCACUAAGUAAUAACAAUACACUCUAGCCAU